UACAGAGGGUGCAAGCGUUAAUCGGAAUUACUGGGCGUAAAGCGUGCGCAGGCGGUCUUUUAAGUCAGAUGUGAAAUCCCCGGGCUUAACCUGGGAACUGCGUUUGAAACUGGAAGGCUUGAGUGUGGCAGAGGGGGGUGGAAUUCCACGUGUAGCAGUGAAAUGCGUAGAGAUGUGGAGGAACACCGAUGGCGAAGGCAGCCCCCUGGGAUAACACUGACGCUCAUGCACGAAAGCGUGGGGAGCAAACAGG
This 253-nucleotide ribosomal RNA is filed under the name uncultured bacterium. RNAcentral's name for it is "partial 16S ribosomal RNA". It matches the Rfam family "Bacterial small subunit ribosomal RNA", at positions 524 to 776 of the family's 1533-position model. The record is from RNAcentral.